Long non-coding RNA from Vigna angularis (adzuki bean), 1106 nucleotides. RefSeq lists it as uncharacterized. The transcript has 2 exons. NCBI's taxonomy places the organism in Eukaryota, Viridiplantae, Streptophyta, Magnoliopsida, Fabales, Fabaceae. The record is from RefSeq and is a predicted model, not a curated record.
AGAAAAAGAAAAAGAAAUAAAAAUAAAGGUUGUAGCUGUCCCCAUGUCCCGCCUGUUCUGGUUAUUCACUUCGUCACGUUACUGUGUGUGAGAAGAAGCUGACUGGAAAGAGCGAAAAGCGCAGAAAGAACGAACGAACGAACGAAAGCUAAAAAGUGUGUUUGAUUGAUAGAGAUACUGAUACACGGCUUCAACGUUUCCGCGUCGAUCUCUCUCAGAUUCUUGGGUCUUCGCCAUGGCGGAGCGUGGUUCUUACGGAUUGGGACCUCGAUUAGCUGCUUUUCAGUAUGACCAACUUGUAAAAGCUUCAAGCUCAAACUACUGGCCACUUUCUUCUUAACAGUUCUCAUCCCAAGAGAAAGCUAGAGAGCUCAUAAAGAGAGAAACUUAUGAGAAUCAAAUAGAAGUACCACCCAGUAAAAUGAUUGGUGCAAUUUAUUCUUUUUCAUAUUACAUAAAUUGCUUUAUUAGUUUUCGCCGUUUCCUGAAGGUGUGAAUCUUUCAAUUCAUUGCAUCCGAAUUUUCCUGUAAACCGAUUUCCUUUCAUCCGAGGACGAUCGCGCACCCAUAAAUCAAAGGUUAGCAGUAUACACACCGAGCUGACGUCAGGAGAGUCCGCUGUUCUACUUUGUGCCUGCGUGUAUCCAACAUCUAGUAUGGUCGGCUUGUUUUCCGGUUUUGUUGUGCCAGAUCAGCAUCUACAUGGAUUUUGGUAUUUGGCGAUGUACUAUAUAUUUGUUUCUGCUUUGAGGAAAAUUUGAAUCUCAAAAGUAUCGAGUUGGUCAUUACACCAAUGGAACUCAGCCCCAUGAGAGCCCCUGCAAUUGAUGGAGUCAGAAUAGUUCCAUUUAUGGGAAAUAACACUCCAGCUGCAAUUGGAAUUCCUACCUGUAUACAGAUAGAGGUUUAAAUACACCAUGAAGGUUGAAUAACAAUAUAGAACAAUAUUUUUCCAGAUAUUUCAAAAUCGCAAAUAACAGAAACAUUAAACCAACAAAAAGAAAGUAUCAGUCCUAAAUUCAAUUGAAUUUGGUACAUGAAACAGGUGGAGAUUAUCUGCGCUGAUACCGCAUGUUAAUAAAAUUCGGACACCGAUUGUAUUUGCA